Lemur catta (Ring-tailed lemur) is the source of this 249-nucleotide long non-coding RNA. RefSeq lists it as uncharacterized. The record is from RefSeq and is a predicted model, not a curated record. NCBI's taxonomy places the organism in Eukaryota, Metazoa, Chordata, Mammalia, Primates, Lemuridae. The transcript has 3 exons.
CUUUCUCGGGGCUCCCAGGCUCGGCCAGGUGAUGUGAUGAUGCUUCGCACAAUGUCCACCUCAGGCCUUCUCUCCAAAUUCGGGGUUCAGGUGGCACCGCUGCUCGCCUCCCCGCCUGCCGCCCACUGCCAUGCCUGCUCCAGUCUCCCAGAAACACAAGCCAGAUCCCUGUUCCGGCCUCGGCCAGCUUUCAUCCACGUUUCCUGAGCGGAUGUAGGCUCUCACUCGGGCUUAGGACGAGUCCAGACC